RNAcentral lists this unclassified non-coding RNA (18 nucleotides) under Dictyostelium discoideum. The record is from RNAcentral. Lineage: Eukaryota; Evosea; Eumycetozoa; Dictyosteliales; Dictyosteliaceae.
GGGUUCAAUAAAUGUCCC